This 480-nucleotide ribosomal RNA is filed under the name uncultured bacterium. Its description in RNAcentral is "partial 16S ribosomal RNA". It matches the Rfam family "Bacterial small subunit ribosomal RNA", at positions 32 to 523 of the family's 1533-position model. The record is from RNAcentral.
AAUCAACGCUGGCGGCGUGCCUAACACAUGCAAGUCGAACGAGAAAGAGGGGGCAACUCCUUGAGUAAAGUGGCGACCGGGUGAGUAACACGUGACUAACCUACCCUUGAGUGGGGAAUAACCUUCCGAAAGGAGGGCUAAUACCGCAUAACAUCGCGAGGCGAGAUUCCUUGUGAUCAAAGGAGCAAUUCGCUUAAGGAGGGGGUCGCGGCUGAUUAGCUAGUUGGUGAGGUAACGGCUCACCAAGGCGAUGAUCAGUAUCCGGCCUGAGAGGGCGAACGGACACACUGGAACUGAAACACGGUCCAGACUCCUACGGGGGGCAGCAGUGGGGAAUUUUGCGCAAUGGGGGAAACCCUGAAGCAGCAACGCCGCGUGGAGGAUGAAGGUCUUUGGAUUGUAAACUCCUUUCGAUCGGGACGAUUAUGACGGUACCGGAAGAAGAAGCACCGGCUAACUCUGUGCCAGCCGCCGCCGUAA